AUGCAACAACUUGUUCGAGGGGGGCAAACCGCGGUGAACAUAAACGGGGAAGUAGGCCCAUUUAAAAAAAAACAUGGGGUCAGGCAAGGAGACCCAAUCUCUCAUUUGUUAUUCAACAUCCUCACCGACGCCCUUGCCCGGAUGCUUGAUAAGGCCAAGGAGGCUGUCCACAUCUUGGGAGUGGGCACUAGAGUGGUUAAGGGUGACCUAGCCCAUCUCCAAUAUGUGGACGACACAUUGAUAUUUAUAAAAAACUGUGAGAGGGAAAUUGUAAACUUGAAAUUCCAAUUAAUGUGCUUCGAGGCCAUGUCAGGUCUAAAGAUCAAUUUCGACAAAAGUGAGACGUUUUUCAUGGGAGGAGACCUAGAAUUACAACUCUGGGCCGCACACAUGAUGAACUGUGAACUCGGAUCCAUCUGCAUGAAAUAUUUGGGAAUGCUGAUAUCUUCCCGGGCCUAA
This 459-nucleotide ribosomal RNA is filed under the name Triticum aestivum (bread wheat). RNAcentral describes it as "partial small subunit ribosomal RNA". Lineage: Eukaryota; Viridiplantae; Streptophyta; Magnoliopsida; Poales; Poaceae. The record is from RNAcentral.